This 77-nucleotide transfer RNA is filed under the name Bryobacteraceae bacterium. RNAcentral's name for it is "tRNA-Arg". It matches the Rfam family "tRNA". From Rfam's summary of the family: Transfer RNA (tRNA) molecules are approximately 80 nucleotides in length. Their secondary structure includes four short double-helical elements and three loops (D, anti-codon, and T loops). Lineage: Bacteria; Pseudomonadati; Acidobacteriota; Terriglobia; Bryobacterales; Bryobacteraceae. The record is from RNAcentral.
GCGCCCGUAGCUCAGAUGGAUAGAGCGUCUGCCUCCGGAGCAGAAGGUCGGGCGUUCGAGCCGCCCCGGGCGUACCA